This 421-nucleotide ribosomal RNA is filed under the name Staphylococcus aureus. Its description in RNAcentral is "bacterial SSU rRNA". It matches the Rfam family "Bacterial small subunit ribosomal RNA", at positions 396 to 809 of the family's 1533-position model. Lineage: Bacteria; Bacillati; Bacillota; Bacilli; Caryophanales; Staphylococcaceae. The record is from RNAcentral.
GCCGCGUGAGUGAUGAAGGUCUUCGGAUCGUAAAACUCUGUUAUUAGGGAAGAACAUAUGUGUAAGUAACUGUGCACAUCUUGACGGUACCUAAUCAGAAAGCCACGGCUAACUACGUGCCAGCAGCCGCGGUAAUACGUAGGUGGCAAGCGUUAUCCGGAAUUAUUGGGCGUAAAGCGCGCGUAGGCGGUUUUUUAAGUCUGAUGUGAAAGCCCACGGCUCAACCGUGGAGGGUCAUUGGAAACUGGAAAACUUGAGUGCAGAAGAGGAAAGUGGAAUUCCAUGUGUAGCGGUGAAAUGCGCAGAGAUAUGGAGGAACACCAGUGGCGAAGGCGACUUUCUGGUCUGUAACUGACGCUGAUGUGCGAAAGCGUGGGGAUCAAACAGGAUUAGAUACCCUGGUAGUCCACGCCGUAAACGA